AUUGAACGCUGGCGGCAUGCCUUACACAUGCAAGUCGAACGAGAACGGAUUAUAGCUUGCUAUAAUUGUCAGCUAAGUGGCGCACGGGUGAGUAAUGUAUAGGUAAUAUGCCUCUUACUAAGGGAUAACAAAUGGAAACGUUUGCUAAUACCUUAUACUCCUUAUUAACAGAAGUUAAUAAGGGAAAGAUUUAUUGGUAAGAGAUUAGCCUGUAUUGUAUCAGUUAGUUGGUGGGGUAAUGGCUUACCAAGACUAUGACACAUAACUGGUUUGAGAGGAUGAUCAGUCACACUGGAACUGAGACACGGUCCAGACUCCUACGGGAGGCAGCAGUGGGGAAUAUUGCACAAUGGACGAAAGUCUGAUGCAGCAACGCCGCGUGGAGGAUGACACAUUUCGGUGCGUAAACUCCUUUUAUAUGAGAAGAUAAUGACGGUAUUAUAUGAAUAAGCACCGGCUAACUCCGUGCCAGCAGCCGCCGUAA
RNAcentral lists this ribosomal RNA (484 nucleotides) under uncultured bacterium. Its description in RNAcentral is "partial 16S ribosomal RNA". It matches the Rfam family "Bacterial small subunit ribosomal RNA", at positions 30 to 523 of the family's 1533-position model. The record is from RNAcentral.